RNAcentral lists this ribosomal RNA (334 nucleotides) under uncultured Glomeromycotina. Its description in RNAcentral is "SSU rRNA". It matches the Rfam family "Eukaryotic small subunit ribosomal RNA", at positions 569 to 907 of the family's 1831-position model. The record is from RNAcentral. Lineage: Eukaryota; Fungi; Glomeromycota.
AGCAGCCGCGGUAAUUCCAGCUCCAAUAGCGUAUAUUAAAGUUGUUGCAGUUAAAAAGCUCGUAGUUGAAUUUCGGGGUCAGUAGGUUGGUCAUGCCACUGGUAUGUACUGGUCUCACUGAUUCCUCCUUCCUGAUGAACUGUAAUGCCAUUAAUUUGGUGUUGCAGGGAAUCUGGACUGUUACUUUGAAAAAAUUGAGUGUUUAAAGCAGGCUAACGCCUGAAUACAUUAGCAUGGAAUAAUGAAAUAGGACGUUCGAUCCUAUUUUGUUGGUUUCUAGGAUUGACGUAAUGAUUAAUAGGGAUAGUUGGGGGCAUUAGUAUUCAAAUUGUCA